This is a long non-coding RNA of Sander lucioperca (pikeperch), 908 nucleotides long. RefSeq lists it as uncharacterized. The transcript is spliced from 2 exons. Lineage: Eukaryota; Metazoa; Chordata; Actinopteri; Perciformes; Percidae. The record is from RefSeq and is a predicted model, not a curated record.
ACCAGCUGUCUAUUGAAAUGUGCACUACAUUUGGAUGGAAGCUUGAUAGAAAGAGAACAGAAAACACUCCUCUUUGAGAUCAUUUAUUUUCAACUCCAGUGAUGGCACAAUUUCUCUCUUAUAGACCAGGUGCCAAAUAUGAAUCAAUGUUACUGUAAUAGUGUCAUUUCUGAAUGAAGCCAUGACGGACAUUUCUGUUUUUUUUAUAUUAGAAAAAAGUGCAGAUGUUUCAUUCAGUUGGAGGAUGAUCAAGAGAAACAGAUACAGAGAGAGAAGAAGAGGAGGUACUCAUCCAUCUUACUGUAAUGAGCACUUACCCAUGUUCCUCAAGCGUAAGGAACUUACAUGUUCCUUACGCUUAUGAUGUUUUGCCUUUAUGUUUCUUUCUUCUUAGGCCUCCUUCUUUUGGUACCUGUUAGUCCUGCAGAGCGAGUAAUGGCCAACUAGCUAACAGUUCCAUCAAUCACACCUUGUGAUCAUCUCUGCACUUAUUGUAAACCCUACACACAUCUUCAACUUCACAACUUGCCCUCACACACAUCCUGUACUUACUGAAAUGUGUAAAGAAGAGCAUCUGAAGGGGCCCUGUUGCUGUGACACAUACUCACAGUCUUUUUUGACUCUAACCCAUUUCCAAGUGCCCUACGACACAUGCCCACACACUUUUUGUAUGUGCAAGUGCCUUGUGUAUGUGUGUGUGUGUGUGUGUGUGUGUGUGUGUGUGUGUGUGUGUGUGUGUUAUCAAGGCCCUGUGUUUCCUGUUUUGCAAUCCUCACCAUGUCCUCCCAGAAAACGUCUGCCGCUGGCUGAUUCAGGAACAGCCGGUUUUCUCUGCCCCCCCUUCGGAGAGGGCAUUCAACACUAAGGCAUCUGCAGCCUCCAUUUGUUUAAAUAAAAAUCUCAUAUCA